RNAcentral lists this ribosomal RNA (403 nucleotides) under Verrucomicrobiota bacterium. RNAcentral's name for it is "Verrucomicrobia bacterium partial 16S ribosomal RNA". It matches the Rfam family "Bacterial small subunit ribosomal RNA", at positions 355 to 776 of the family's 1533-position model. Lineage: Bacteria; Pseudomonadati; Verrucomicrobiota. The record is from RNAcentral.
UGGGGAAUAUUGCACAAUGGGCGCAAGCCUGAUGCAGCAACGCCGCGUGAACGAUGAAGGUCUUCGGAUCGUAAAGUUCUGUUGCAGGGGAAGAUAAUGACGGUACCCUGUGAGGAAGCCCCGGCUAACUACGUGCCAGCAGCCGCGGUAAUACGUAGGGGGCUAGCGUUAUCCGGAUUUACUGGGCGUAAAGGGUGCGUAGGUGGUCUUUCAAGUCGGUGGUUAAAGGCUACGGCUCAACCGUAGUUAGCCUCCGAAACUGGAAGACUUGAGUGCAGGAGAGGAAAGUGGAAUUCCCAGUGUAGCGGUGAAAUGCGUAGAUAUUGGGAGGAACACCAGUAGCGAAGGCGGCUUUAUGGACUGCAACUGACACUGAGGCACGAAAGCGUGGGUAGCAAACAGG